CAAUAGCGUAUAUUUAAGUUGUUGCAGUUAAAAAGCUCGUAGUUGGAUUUCGGAUGGGACUUGCCGGUCCGUCGUUUCGAUGUGCACUGGCCAGUCCUAUCUUGUUGUCGGGGACUAGCUCCUGGGCUUCACUGUCCGGGACUAGGAGCUGACGAGGUUACUUUGAGUAAAUUAGAGUGUUCAAAGCAAGCCUACGCUCUGAAUACAUUAGCAUGGAAUAACACGAUAGGACUCUGGCUUAUCUUGUUGGUCUGUGAGACCAGAGUAAUGAUUAAGAGGGACAGUCGGGGGCAUUCGUAUUUCAUUGUCAGAGGUGAAAUUCUUGGAUUUAUGAAAGACUAACUUCUGCGAAAGCAUUUGUCAAGGAUGUUUNCAUUAA
Molecule: ribosomal RNA, 379 nt
Filed under: uncultured eukaryote
Lineage: Eukaryota
Description: partial 18S ribosomal RNA
Rfam family: Eukaryotic small subunit ribosomal RNA
Source: RNAcentral